UACAGAGGUCUCAAGCGUUGUUCGGAUUCAUUGGGCGUAAAGGGUGCGUAGGUGGCAUGGUAAGUCGGAUGUGAAAUCCCGGGGCUCAACCCCGGAACUGCAUUCGAUACUGCUGAGCUAGAGUACUGGAGAGGAGAUUGGAAUUUACGGUGUAGCAGUGAAAUGCGUAGAUAUCGUAAGGAAGACCGGUGGCGAAGGCGGGUCUCUGGACAGUUCCUGACACUGAGGCACGAAGGCCAGGGGAGCAAACGGG
RNAcentral lists this ribosomal RNA (253 nucleotides) under uncultured bacterium. RNAcentral describes it as "partial 16S ribosomal RNA". It matches the Rfam family "Bacterial small subunit ribosomal RNA", at positions 524 to 776 of the family's 1533-position model. The record is from RNAcentral.